This 382-nucleotide ribosomal RNA is filed under the name uncultured Katablepharidophyta. RNAcentral describes it as "partial small subunit ribosomal RNA". It matches the Rfam family "Eukaryotic small subunit ribosomal RNA", at positions 30 to 431 of the family's 1831-position model. The record is from RNAcentral. Lineage: Eukaryota; Cryptophyceae; Kathablepharidacea.
GCUUGUCUCAAAGAUUAAGCCAUGCACGUCUAAGUAUAAGCGAUUAUACUGUGAAACUGCGAAUGGCUCAUUAUAUCAGUUAUAGUUUAUUUGAUGGUCCUUGCUACUUGGAUAACCGUAGUAAUUCUAGAGCUAAUACAUGCACAAAAUCCCGACUUACGAAGGGAUGUAUUUAUUAGAUACAAACCAACAUCGUGGUGAUUCAUAAUAACUUUGCGAAUCGUAUGCCUCACGGCGACGAUGAAUCAUUCAAAUUUCUGCCCUAUCAACUUUCGAUGGUAAGGUAUUGGCUUACCAUGGUUGCAACGGGUAACGGAGAAUUAGGGUUCGAUUCCGGAGAGGGCGCCUGAGAAAUGGCGACCACAUCCAAGGAAGGCAGCAG